CGUAGGGGCGAGCGUUGUCCGGAAUUACUGGGCGUAAAGGGCGUGUAGGCGGCCCCUUAAGUCCGGUGUGAAAGCCCACGGCUCAACCGUGGAAGGUCACUGGAAACUGGGGGCUUGAGAGCAGGAGAGGAGAGCGGAAUUCCCGGUGUAGCGGUGAAAUGCGUAGAGAUCGGGAGGAACACCAGUGGCGAAGGCGGCUCUCUGGCCUGGCUCUGACGCUGAGGCGCGAAAGCGUGGGGAGCAAACAGGAUU
RNAcentral lists this ribosomal RNA (252 nucleotides) under uncultured bacterium. RNAcentral describes it as "partial 16S ribosomal RNA". It matches the Rfam family "Bacterial small subunit ribosomal RNA", at positions 526 to 779 of the family's 1533-position model. The record is from RNAcentral.